AAAUGAAUAGACGGGGACCUGCACAAGUGGUGGAGCAUGCGGUUUAAUUCGAUACUAAGCGGGGAACCUUACCAAGGCUUGACAUAUAGCUGCAUACACCUAGAAAUAGGGUAGCCUUCGAGGGUGCUAUACAGGUGCUGCACGGUUGUCGUCAGCUCGUGCCGUGAGGUGUUCACUUAAGUGUGAAAACGAGCGCAACCCCUAUCGUUUGUUACAAGUGUCAAACGAAACUGCCGGCGUCUAAGCUGGAGGAAGGUGGGGAUGACGUCAAAUCAGCGUGGCUCUUACGCCUUGGGCGACACGCGUGCUACAAUGGGUAGGAACAAAGGGACGCCAAGGAGCGAUCCGGAGCAAAUCCUAAAAAAACUACCCUCAGUUCGGAUUGAAGGCUGAAACUCGCCUUCAUGAAGCCGGAAUCACUAGUAACCGUAGAUCAGCCUCGCUACGGUGAAUACGUUCUCAGGUUUUGUACACACCGCCCGU
RNAcentral lists this ribosomal RNA (483 nucleotides) under uncultured bacterium. RNAcentral's name for it is "bacterial SSU rRNA". It matches the Rfam family "Bacterial small subunit ribosomal RNA", at positions 903 to 1397 of the family's 1533-position model. The record is from RNAcentral.